This 430-nucleotide ribosomal RNA is filed under the name Bacteroidota bacterium. RNAcentral's name for it is "Bacteroidetes bacterium partial 16S ribosomal RNA". It matches the Rfam family "Bacterial small subunit ribosomal RNA", at positions 355 to 776 of the family's 1533-position model. The record is from RNAcentral. Lineage: Bacteria; Pseudomonadati; Bacteroidota.
UAGGGAAUCUUCGGCAAUGGGGGGAACCCUGACCGAGCAACGCCGCGUGAGUGAAGAAGGUUUUCGGAUCGUAAAGCUCUGUUGUUAAGGAAGAACGAGUGUGAGAAUGGAAAGUUCAUACUGUGACGGUACUUAACCAGAAAGGGACGGCUAACUACGUGCCAGCAGCCGCGGUAAUACGUAGGUGGCAAGCGUUGUCCGGAUUUAUUGGGCGUAAAGCGAGCGCAGGCGGUCAAUUAAGUCUGAUGUGAAAGCCCCCGGCUCAACCGGGGAGGGUCAUUGGAAACUGGUUGACUUGAGUGCAGAAGAGGAGAGUGGAAUUCCAUGUGUAACGGUGAAAUGCGUAGAUAUAUGGAGGAACACCAGUGGCGAAGGCGACUCUCUGGUCUGUAACUGACGCUGAGGCUCGAAAGCGUGGGUAGCAAACAGG